Molecule: ribosomal RNA, 370 nt
Filed under: uncultured organism
Description: bacterial SSU rRNA
Rfam family: Bacterial small subunit ribosomal RNA
Source: RNAcentral
CAGAGAGUGCAAACGUUGUUCGGAAUUACUGGGCUUGAAGCGCACGUAGGCGGCGUUGUAAGUGUCGGGUGAAAUCCCACGGCUCACCCGUGGAACUGCCCGGCAUACUGCGAUGCUAGAGUGUGGUAGGGGAGAGCGGAACUCCUGGUGGAGCGGUGAAAUGCGUAGAUAUCAGGAGGAACACCGGUGGCGAAGGCGGCUCUCUGGUCCACAACUGACGCUGAGGUGCGAAAGCUAGGGGAGCAAACGGGAUUAGAUACCCCGGUAGUCCUAGCUGUAAACGAUGGGCACUAGCUUGGGGUCUCCCUGUGUGAUCCCAGGUGAAGCAAAAGUGAUAAGUGCCCCGCCUGGGAGUAUGGUCGCAAGGCUG